Molecule: ribosomal RNA, 449 nt
Filed under: uncultured bacterium
Lineage: Bacteria
Description: partial 16S ribosomal RNA
Rfam family: Bacterial small subunit ribosomal RNA
Source: RNAcentral
AGUGGCGACCGGGUGAGUCAUACGGGACUAACCUACCCUCGAGUGUGGAAUAACAUCGGGAAACCGAUGCUAAUACCGCAUAACAUCGCAAGAUCAAAGGAGCAAUCCGCUUGAGGAGGGGGUCGCGGCUGAUUAGCUAGUUGGCGGGGUAACGGCCCACCAAGGCGAAAAUCGGUAUCCGGCCUGAGAGGGCGCACGGACACACUGGAACUGAAACACGGUCCAGACUCCUACGGGAGGCAGCAGUGGGGAAUUUUGCGCAAUGGGGGAAACCCUGACGCAGCAACCCCCCGUGGAGGAUGAAGCCCCUUGGGGCGUAAACUCCUUUCGACCAAAAAAAAAAUGACGGUACUGGUGGGAGAAACACCGGCUAAAUCUUUGGCAGCACCCCGGGAUACAAAAGGGGGCAGAGGUGUUCGGAAAAAUAUGCGGCAAGAGGGCGAAGGGGG